Molecule: ribosomal RNA, 1398 nt
Filed under: metagenome
Description: bacterial SSU rRNA
Rfam family: Bacterial small subunit ribosomal RNA
Source: RNAcentral
AGAGUUUGAUCCUGGCUCAGGAUGAACGCUGGCGGCGUGCCUAACACAUGCAAGUCGAGCGAUUCUCUUCGGAGAAGAGCGGCGGACGGGUGAGUAACGCGUGGGUAACCUGCCCUGUACACACGGAUAACAUACCGAAAGGUAUGCUAAUACGGGAUAAUAUAAGAAAUUCGCAUGUUUUUCUUAUCAAAGCUCCGGCGGUACAGGAUGGACCCGCGUCUGAUUAGCUAGUUGGUGAGGUAACGGCUCACCAAGGCGACGAUCAGUAGCCGACCUGAGAGGGUGAUCGGCCACAUUGGAACUGAGACACGGUCCAAACUCCUACGGGAGGCAGCAGUGGGGAAUAUUGCACAAUGGGCGAAAGCCUGAUGCAGCAACGCCGCGUGAGCGAUGAAGGCCUUCGGGUCGUAAAGCUCUGUCCUCAAGGAAGAUAAUGACGGUACUUGAGGAGGAAGCCCCGGCUAACUACGUGCCAGCAGCCGCGGUAAUACGUAGGGGGCUAGCGUUAUCCGGAUUUGCUGGGCGUAAAGGGUGCGUAGGCGUUCUUUUAAGUCAGGAGUGAAAGGCUACGGCUCAACCGUGGUAAGCUCUUGAAACUGGAGGACUUGAGUGCAGGAGAGGAGAGUGGAAUUCCUAGUGUAGCGGUGAAAUGCGUAGAUAUUAGGAGGAACACCAGUAGCGAAGGCGGCUCUCUGGACUGUAACUGACGCUGAGGCACGAAAGCGUGGGGAGCAAACAGGAUUAGAUACCCUGGUAGUCCACGCCGUAAACGAUGAGUACUAGCUGUCGGAGGUUACCCCCUUCGGUGGCGCAGCUAACGCAUUAAGUACUCCGCCUGGGGAGUACGCUCGCAAGAAUGAAACUCAAAGGAAUUGACGGGGACCCGCACAAGUAGCGGAGCAUGUGGUUUAAUUCGAAGCAACGCGAAGAACCUUACCUAAGCUUGACAUCCUUUUGACCGAUGCCUAAUCGCAUCUUUCCCUUCGGGGACAGAAGUGACAGGUGGUGCAUGGUUGUCGUCAGCUCGUGUCGUGAGAUGUUGGGUUAAGUCCCGCAACGAGCGCAACCCUUGCCUUUAGUUGCCAUCAUUAAGUUGGGCACUCUAGAGGGACUGCCAGGGAUAACCUGGAGGAAGGUGGGGAUGACGUCAAAUCAUCAUGCCCCUUAUGCUUAGGGCUACACACGUGCUACAAUGGGUGGUACAGAGGGCAGCGAAGUCGUGAGGCCAAGCUAAUCCCUUAAAGCCAUUCUCAGUUCGGAUUGUAGGCUGAAACUCGCCUACAUGAAGCUGGAGUUACUAGUAAUCGCAGAUCAGAAUGCUGCGGUGAAUGCGUUCCCGGGUCUUGUACACACCGCCCGUCACACCAUGGGAGUUGGGGGCGCCCGAAGCCGGCUAGC